RNAcentral lists this long non-coding RNA (1091 nucleotides) under Musa acuminata (dwarf banana). RNAcentral describes it as "long non-coding RNA (MACU_LNC011382)". Lineage: Eukaryota; Viridiplantae; Streptophyta; Magnoliopsida; Zingiberales; Musaceae. The record is from RNAcentral.
AAAGUUAUUUGCAUUCUUGAAAACUAUUGUGUAACAUUUAUGCUAUAUCGUAUUGACUCAUUUAGGCACAUGUGUAUCCCAUUGUUCCGCAUUUGCUUUCGAUAUGUGCCUCUUCUAUUUCCUUUCAAAAUCCGAAUACCAUUGUGAAAGAUUAUUGCUUACUUCGUAUUGACUCGUAAAGGCACAUGUACGUUUUGUUGUUCCGCGUGUGCUUCCGAUAUAUGCUACUUAUUGAUAAAACUGUCCUCUUGUACUCUGGUGUUGUGGGAUUGUCUGGACCUUUGCUAGAAAUGGUAAAGGGUGUUAUUCUGGACCUUUGCCAGAAAUGGUGAAGGGUGUUAUUCUGGACCUUUGCCAGAAAUGGUAAAGGGUAUGUGCUUAGAGCCUGCAAUGCUCUGCCGGCCCCCUCUGGCUUCACCUAGACGUGGGUGGAUGGAGCUCCCAGACGUGGGAGACUUCUGUCAGGUGGUCAUUCAGAAAUGGAUGAAUCACAUUCUGACUGAGAUCCACUACACCUUCUAUAUGUUUGAUAUGAUAUCCAGAGCUUUGGUUAUGUAUUUCUGUACAUGCUUUGGAUAAGAAUGAUAUGAUUGCAACGUCAAAGACGACGUUUGAGCUUCUAUACGGUAUUUGUUAUUGAUAUGCUCUGAAAAGUUUCAUUCACUGUUGAUAUGCUUCGAAAUGUUCCAUAUGCCAUUGAUAUGCUCCGGAACAUUUCAUACGCCAUUGAUAAGCUCCGAAACAUUUCAUUUGUUAUUGAUAUGCUUCGAAAUGUUCCAUACGCCAUUGAUAUGCUCCGGAACAAUUCAUAUGCCAUUGAUAAGCUCCGAUAUAUUUCAUUUGUUAUUGAUAUGCUUUGAAAUGUACCCUUUGCCAUUGAUAUGCUCCGGAACAUCUCGUACGCUAUUGAUAUGCUCCAAUUACUCUAUGCUCCAUUUGUUAUGAAUCAAAUAUGUUUGAAAUGACAUGAUACAUAUGAUUUUGUAUCUAAUGAAAUGGUAUCCUUGAGAAUUCUUGUAUUCUGCCUUGCAUUAUGAUACCUUGUUUGAAACCAUUCCUUUUGUUCUGAAUAUGCUUUGUCACUUGCUGAG